This 837-nucleotide ribosomal RNA is filed under the name uncultured organism. RNAcentral describes it as "bacterial SSU rRNA". It matches the Rfam family "Bacterial small subunit ribosomal RNA", at positions 644 to 1495 of the family's 1533-position model. The record is from RNAcentral.
GAGGGCAUCAGAGGGGUUUGGAAUUCCCGGAGUAGCGGUAAAAUGCGCAGAUAUCGGGAGGUACACCGGUGGCGAAAGCGGCACCCUGGGGUGCACCUGACGCUGAGAGACGACAGCUAGGGGAGCGAACAGGAUUAGAGACCCUGGUAGUCCUAGCCGUAAACGAUGGAUGCUAGGUGUGGGAGUGAAGAACUUCUGUGCCGCAGCGAACGCGAUAAGCAUCCCGCCUGGGGAGUACGGCCGCAAGGUUAAAACUCAAACGAAUUGACGGGGACCCGCACAAGCAGCGGAGCGUGUGGUUUAAUUCGAUGCUACACGAAGAACCUUACCUGGGAUUGACAUAUGGGUGGUAGUGAGCCGAAAGGCAAGCGACCCUUCGGGGAGCCUAUACAGGUGCUGCAUGGCUGUCGUCAGCUCGUGCCGUGAGGUGUCGGGUUAAGUCCCGUAACGAGCGCAACCCCUGUCCUUAGUUACAAGUGUCUAAGGGGACUGCCGGCGGGAAGCCGGAGGAAGGUGGGGAUGACGUCAAGUCAGCAUGGCCCUUAUAUCCAGGGCGACACACACGCUACAAUGGUCGGUACAGAGGGCAGCGAAGCCGCGAGGUGGAGCGAAACCCAGAAAGCCGGUCGUAGUUCGGAUUGCAGGCUGCAACUCGCCUGCAUGAAGUUGGAGUUGCUAGUAACCGCAGGUCAGCCAUACUGCGGUGAUACGUUCCCGGGUCUUGUACACACCGCCCGUCACGUCAUGGGAGUCGGUAACGCCUGAAGGCGACAGUCUGACCGGAAGGAAGACGCUGUCGAGGGUGGGGCUAACAACCUGGGACGAAGUCGUAACAAG